GACGAACGCUGGCGGCGUGCUUAACACAUGCGAGUCGAACGGAAAGGCCCUGCUUUUGUGGGGUGCUCGAGUGGCGAACGGGUGAGUAACACGUGAGUAACCUGCCCUUGACUUUGGGAUAACUUCAGGAAACUGGGGCUAAUACCGGAUAGGAGCUCCUGCUGCAUGGUGGGGGUUGGAAAGUUUCGGCGGUUGGGGAUGGACUCGCGGCUUAUCAGCUUGUUGGUGGGGUAGUGGCUUACCAAGGCUUUGACGGGUAGCCGGCCUGAGAGGGUGAUCGGCCACAUUGGGACUGAGAUACGGCCCAGACUCCUACGGGAGGCAGCAGUGGGGAAUAUUGCACAAUGGGCGGAAGCCUGAUGCAGCAACGCCGCGUGCGGGAUGACGGCCUUCGGGUUGUAAACCGCUUUCGCCUGUGACGAAGCGUGAGUGACGGUAAUGGGUAAAGAAGCACCGGCUAACUACGUG
Molecule: ribosomal RNA, 468 nt
Filed under: uncultured bacterium
Lineage: Bacteria
Description: partial 16S ribosomal RNA
Rfam family: Bacterial small subunit ribosomal RNA
Source: RNAcentral